RNAcentral lists this ribosomal RNA (253 nucleotides) under uncultured bacterium. RNAcentral's name for it is "partial 16S ribosomal RNA". It matches the Rfam family "Bacterial small subunit ribosomal RNA", at positions 524 to 776 of the family's 1533-position model. The record is from RNAcentral.
UACGUAGGUGACCAGCGUUGUCCGGAUUUACUGGGCGUAAAGAGCGCGCAGGCGGUCGUUCAAGUCGAGUGUGAAAGCCCCCGGCUCAACUGGGGAGGGUCACUCGAUACUGAUCGACUGGAAGGCAGGAGAGGGAAGCGGAAUUCCCGGUGUAGUGGUGAAAUGCGUAGAUAUCGGGAGGAACACCAGUGGCGAAGGCGACUUCCUGGCCUGUUCUUGACGCUGAGGCGCGAAAGCUAGGGGAGCAAACGGG